AUGGCAUUGCCAUCUGGUACGUUGUGUUUAUCAGUGAGUAAUUGGUACAAAGUUCAGAUUAUCAGUUUAUGUUUGUCUUGGCAGAUCGAUGGUUUCGCCGCGGUCGUCGGGAGAAAUAUCAUCAAUGGUAGGGGAAAAGCAGGUAGGCUGAGGCGGGCACCCACACCAAGCGUCCGACCCAGGAAGGCAGCCCUGCAGCUCCGCCUCGUGCCACUCCCCAUCUCUAUGUUGGUGUCAGACCCACCGCAAGGUAGAGGCAGAAGAGGAGGUCGGGAAGAGAAGCUGCAAGGUAGGAGGCUUUUGAUCUGA
RNAcentral lists this ribosomal RNA (309 nucleotides) under Triticum aestivum (bread wheat). RNAcentral describes it as "partial small subunit ribosomal RNA". Lineage: Eukaryota; Viridiplantae; Streptophyta; Magnoliopsida; Poales; Poaceae. The record is from RNAcentral.